AGGACGAACGCUGGCGGCGUGCUUAACACAUGCAAGUGGAGCGACGAACCAGGGCUUGCCCUGGGGCAGAGCCGCGAACGGGUGAGUAACACGUGGGUUACCUGCCUCGAUGACCGGGACAACCCGAGGAAAACUCGGGCUAAUACCGGAUGUGCCCGUAGGGGGAAAGGAAGCUUCGGCCUCCGCAUCGAGAUGGGCCCGCGGCCCAUUAGCUUGUUGGUGAGGUAACGGCUCACCAAGGCUUUGAUGGGUAGCUGGUCUGAGAGGACGACCAGUCACACUGGAACUGAGACACGGUCCAGACACCUACGGGUGGCAGCAGUCGAGAAUUUUUUCUCAAUGGGGGCAACCCUGAAGGAGCGACGCCGCGUGGAGGAUGAAGGCUUUCGGGUUGUAAACUCCUGUCAUUUGAGAACAAGUGUAGCCAAUUAACUACUGGCUACUUGAUAGUAUCAGAAGAGGAAGGGACGGCUAACUCUGCGCCAGCAGCCGCGGU
This 496-nucleotide ribosomal RNA is filed under the name uncultured bacterium. Its description in RNAcentral is "SSU rRNA". It matches the Rfam family "Bacterial small subunit ribosomal RNA", at positions 26 to 521 of the family's 1533-position model. The record is from RNAcentral.